Molecule: ribosomal RNA, 97 nt
Filed under: Pteropus alecto (black flying fox)
Lineage: Eukaryota; Metazoa; Chordata; Mammalia; Chiroptera; Pteropodidae
Also listed under: 1 other name
Source: RNAcentral
GUCUACGCCCAUGCUAUCCUGAACAAGCCCGAUCCCAUCUGAUCUUGGAAGCUAAGCAGGGUUGGGCCUGGUUAGUAUUUGGAUGGUGUUGUAGGCG